CUUCUGCCACCGAAUACAUUAGCAUGGGAUAAUGGAAUAGGACCCUGUCCUCCUAUUUUGCGUGUUGGUUUUCGAGGACCGGGUAAUGAUUAAUAGGGAUAGUUGGGGGCAUUAAUAUUUAAUUGUCAGAGGUGAAAUUCUUGGAUUUAUGAAAGAUUGACUUCUGCGAAAGCAUCUGCCAAGGAUGUUUUCAUUAAUCAAGAACGAAAGUUAGGGGAUCGAAGACGAUCAGAUACCGUCGUAGUCUUAACCAUAAACGAUGCCGACCAGCGAUUAGGAGACGUUGAAUACAAAACACCACCGUCGGGUCGGCCGUCCUUGGCCGUCGUGCGCGGCGACGCGCGCGGCGGCGAGGGCGGUGUCUGCCCGACGGCCCGGUGAAUGACUCCCCUAG
RNAcentral lists this ribosomal RNA (394 nucleotides) under Acanthamoeba genotype T15. RNAcentral describes it as "SSU rRNA". It matches the Rfam family "Eukaryotic small subunit ribosomal RNA", at positions 786 to 1083 of the family's 1831-position model. The record is from RNAcentral. Lineage: Eukaryota; Discosea; Longamoebia; Acanthamoebidae.